This 471-nucleotide long non-coding RNA is filed under the name Hordeum vulgare. RNAcentral's name for it is "long non-coding RNA (HVUL_LNC001929)". Lineage: Eukaryota; Viridiplantae; Streptophyta; Magnoliopsida; Poales; Poaceae. The record is from RNAcentral.
GUGUGUGUGUGUGUGUGAUUGCAUGUCAUCGUGAUCAGCUUGUACUAGCACGAGAGAGAUAUAAUUAGGAUCACAGUGGAGUAGACACAAACUGACUCGACUGCAUGGGAAGUGACGAGGAAGAUGUCAUCUUCCCCUCCGUGCCCACAAAUUAAGCUGCCACUGACACAUUCCAGCAGUGGAACUAGAAAUUAAACCACAUGCGCGUGCAUGUGAUGCCAGCAGAACACUCUCUAGGAUACACCAUUGCCACUGCAGCUUGCUCUGAUAUUGCCCGCAGCUAGCUAGAUAGCAGGAGCGCAGGCAGGACUACUAUACUAGUUGGAUUCCAUUCUCCCCAGCACACAUAUUCCCUUCUCUCUUCUCCAUGCAACUCUUUGUUUCCUUCCUAAUACCUCUCCCAACCGUAACAUACAUACCCAAAGGCAUGCACUCUUGUAAUCGUUCUCUCUUUUGUACUCGCCCUAAUGA